RNAcentral lists this ribosomal RNA (336 nucleotides) under uncultured bacterium. RNAcentral describes it as "bacterial SSU rRNA". It matches the Rfam family "Bacterial small subunit ribosomal RNA", at positions 330 to 683 of the family's 1533-position model. The record is from RNAcentral.
UCCAGACUCCUACGGGAGGCAGCAGUGGGGAAUAUUGCACAAUGGGGGAAACCCUGAUGCAGCAACGCCGCGUGGGUGAAGAAGUAUUUCGGUAUGUAAAGCCCUCUCAGCAGGGAAGAGAAUGACGGUACCUGACUAAGAAGCCCCGGCUAACUACGUGCCAGCAGCCGCGGUAAUACGUAGGGGGCAAGCGUUAUCCGGAUUUACUGGGUGUAAAGGGAGCGUAGACGGUUGUGCAAGUCUGAAGUGAAAGCCCGCGGCUCAACUGCGGAACGGCUUUGGAAACUGUGUAACUGGAGUGCUGGAGAGGUAAGCGGAAUUCCUAGUGUAGCGGUG